AUUGAACGCUGGCGGCAUGCCUUACACAUGCAAGUCGAACGGCAGCACGGGUGCUUGCACCUGGUGGCGAGUGGCGAACGGGUGAGUAAUACAUCGGAACAUGUCCUGUAGUGGGGGAUAGCCCGGCGAAAGCCGGAUUAAUACCGCAUACGAUCCACGGAUGAAAGCGGGGGACCUUCGGGCCUCGCGCUAUAGGGUUGGCCGAUGGCUGAUUAGCUAGUUGGUGGGGUAAAGGCCUACCAAGGCGACGAUCAGUAGCUGGUCUGAGAGGACGACCAGCAACACGGGGACGGAGACACGGCCCAGACUCCAACGGAGGCAGCAGUGGGGAAUUUUGGACAAUGGGCGAAAGCCUGAUCCAGCAAUGCCGCGUGUGAAGAAGGCCUUCGGGUUGUAAAGCACUUUUGUCCGGAAAGAAAUCCUUGACUCUAAUACAGUCGGGGGAUGACGGUACCGGAAGAAUAAGCACCGGCUAACUACGUG
This 483-nucleotide ribosomal RNA is filed under the name uncultured bacterium. RNAcentral's name for it is "partial 16S ribosomal RNA". It matches the Rfam family "Bacterial small subunit ribosomal RNA", at positions 30 to 507 of the family's 1533-position model. The record is from RNAcentral.